This is an unclassified non-coding RNA of Piliocolobus tephrosceles (Ugandan red Colobus), 355 nucleotides long. Its record names the gene 7SK. It matches the Rfam family "7SK RNA". From Rfam's summary of the family: 7SK was discovered as an abundant small nuclear RNA in the mid-70s but a possible function has only recently been suggested. Two independent studies have found that 7SK RNA binds the CDK9/cyclin T complex (known as elongation factor P-TEFb). Lineage: Eukaryota; Metazoa; Chordata; Mammalia; Primates; Cercopithecidae. The record is from Ensembl.
AGAUGUGAGGGUGACCUGGCUGUGACAUCUGUUGCCCUAUUGAUGGCCAGGAUUGUUCGGCUGAUCUGGCUGGCUAUGCAGGUGUCCUCUUCCUCCCUCACUGUUCUACGUGCCUUCCUCUGGAAGCCGCAUCCUUGGUCGAAGAGGAUGACCAUCCCCAAUAAAGGAGGGCUGGUCUUCAGUCAAGGGCAUAUGAGUAGCUGCACUCCCCUGAUAGAACCUCCAAACAAGCUCUGAAAAAAUGAAGACAUUUUCUAAUAUCAACUAAUAAUGUAGAGAGAGUACUAGAGUUAAAUCAUCAUUUUGCAAAAAUCAUAAUAAAACUGGUUCAGGCAAGAAUCAUCAACGGAUAUUA